AUGCCCGGAGCAGCGCCGCCCUCGCCGGAGCAAGCACCAAGGUUGGCUCCGCCGACCGGUCCGCCUCAGCGCCUCCUCCCGCUCGCGCCUCCUCCUGCCUCGUCCUCGUUCCCGCGCCGCUGGUCGCCGGAAACCAGCAGGAGAAGCCCCGCCUCCGCUCAAGGACCCGUGCCAUUCACUGCUGCCUGCUCCGUUUUCCCUGCGCACCUCCCGGUCCCGUGCUGCACAGCCAAGUUGUCAUCGGUGGCCUCGUCAAUCACCACCCAGGCUGCUAUCUUGAACAGCUCCUCCACGGCUUCUAGUCUGUACGUGGAGUUCCAUCAGUUGCUAGAGCACCACGGAUCCACAAGUAGCUCUACGCACGGAUACACCAAGACCUGGCCCGGCUAG
Molecule: ribosomal RNA, 390 nt
Filed under: Triticum aestivum (bread wheat)
Lineage: Eukaryota; Viridiplantae; Streptophyta; Magnoliopsida; Poales; Poaceae
Description: partial small subunit ribosomal RNA
Source: RNAcentral